Molecule: non-coding RNA, 555 nt
Organism: Salmo salar (Atlantic salmon)
Lineage: Eukaryota; Metazoa; Chordata; Actinopteri; Salmoniformes; Salmonidae
Source: the annotation of a RefSeq genome assembly
GUCUCAGGAUUCUCAAUGUUUGACAACGCACAAAAAGAGGAGGAGAGAAGGAUUUCAUGGUGUCAUCAUGGCAUAGCUACAUCAGAGUUGUUUUACUAUUCUCCCAUUGGUCUCACAGUAGCAGACAUGGGACCCUGGCUGAGUAAUUUACUGAUUCUUGCUGCAUGCUGUUAUGAAUGCAGAGGAGAAGACUCAGUCAUUCAGCCACCAGGAGAUGUGAUCACUACAGAGGGAGAACAGGUCACACUGGACUGUCAAUUUGAUGCAGUUAAUAUGAAGGGUCUCUACCUGUUCUGGUACAAGCAUGAAGUAAACGGCUUCCCAGAGUUCAUGCUGGGACGUUUUCCUUUUGGAAGUAAAAAUGCAACUGAGUUCAAGGAUAGAUUUGACGCCCAUCUCGAUGCAGACUCCAAGUCAGUCCCCUUGACGAUCCAGAGGUUGCAGCUCUCUGACUCUGCUGUGUACUACUGUGCUCUGAGGCCCACUGUGACAACAGGAUAUACAGCCUCAUUACAAAAACUAUUUGAUAGUGUGAUGUAAGACUCUUAGAGAGCC